Molecule: ribosomal RNA, 577 nt
Filed under: uncultured bacterium
Lineage: Bacteria
Description: partial 16S ribosomal RNA
Rfam family: Bacterial small subunit ribosomal RNA
Source: RNAcentral
UAAGGAAUAUUGCUCAAUGGGAGAAAUCCUGAAGCAGCAACGCCGCGUGGAGGAUGAAGGGUUUUUAACUUGUAAACUCCUGUAAAGAAGGAAAAAAUUCCCAUUAGAUGGGAAAUGAUGGUACUUCUGGAGUAAGCCCCGGCUGACUACGUGCCAGCAGCCGCGGUAAUACGUAGGGGGCAAGCGUUGUCCGGAUUUACUGGGUGUAAAGGGUGCUCAGGCGGAUUUGUAAGUCAGAGGUGAAAUCUCACAGCUUAACUGUGAAACUGCCUUUGAUACUGCAAGCCUAGAGUAUGGAAGAGAGUGAUGGAAUAUCUGGUGUAGCAGUGAAAUGCGUAGAUAUCAGAUAGAACACCAAUGGCGAAGGCAGUCACUUGGUCCAUAACUGACGCUAAAGCACGAAAGCGUGGGUAGCAAACAGGAUUAGAUACCCUGGUAGUCCACGCCCUAAACGAUGAAUACUAGAUGUUGGCUUCGCAUGAAGUCAGUAUCUGAGCUAACGCAUUAAGUAUUCCACCUGGGAAGUACGAUCGCAAGGUUGAAACUCAAAUGAAUUGACGGGGUCAUAGCUGUUUCC